RNAcentral lists this ribosomal RNA (465 nucleotides) under Vreelandella stevensii. RNAcentral's name for it is "partial 16S ribosomal RNA". It matches the Rfam family "Bacterial small subunit ribosomal RNA", at positions 338 to 795 of the family's 1533-position model. Lineage: Bacteria; Pseudomonadati; Pseudomonadota; Gammaproteobacteria; Oceanospirillales; Halomonadaceae. The record is from RNAcentral.
CCUACGGGGGGCUGCAGUGGGGAAUAUUGGACAAUGGGGGCAACCCUGAUCCAGCCAUGCCGCGUGUGUGAAGAAGGCCCUCGGGUUGUAAAGCACUUUCAGUGAGGAAGAACGCCUGGUGGUUAAUACCCAUCAGGAAAGACAUCACUCACAGAAGAAGCACCGGCUAACUCCGUGCCAGCAGCCGCGGUAAUACGGAGGGUGCGAGCGUUAAUCGGAAUUACUGGGCGUAAAGCGGGCGUAGGUGGCUUGAUAAGCCGGUUGUGAAAGCCCCGGGCUCAACCUGGGAACGGCAUCCGGAACUGUCAAGCUAGAGUGCAGGAGAGGAAGGUAGAAUUCCCGGUGUAGCGGUGAAAUGCGUAGAGAUCGGGAGGAAUACCAGUGGCGAAGGCGGCCUUCUGGACUGACACUGACACUGAGGUGCGAAAGCGUGGGUAGCAAACAGGAUUAGAUACCCCGGUAGUC